UGGGGAAUAUUGCACAAUGGGCGCAAGCCUGAUGCAGCGACGCCGCGUGGGGGAUGACGGCCUUCGGGUUGUAAACCUCUUUCACCAUCGGCGAAGCCGGGAGCUUUUGUUUCUGGUGACGGUAGGUGGAGAAGAAGCACCGGCCAACUACGUGCCAGCAGCCGCGGUAAUACGUAGGGUGCGAGCGUUGUCCGGAAUUACUGGGCGUAAAGAGCUCGUAGGUGGUUUGUCGCGUUGUCCGUGAAAUUCCCUGGCUUAACUGGGGGCGUGCGGGCGAUACGGGCAGACUGGAGUACUGCAGGGGAGACUGGAAUUCCUGGUGUAGCGGUGGAAUGCGCAGAUAUCAGGAGGAACACCGGUGGCGAAGGCGGGUCUCUGGGCAGUAACUGACGCUGAGGAGCGAAAGCGUGGGGAGCGAACAGGAUUAGAUACCCCCGUAGUCC
Molecule: ribosomal RNA, 443 nt
Filed under: uncultured bacterium
Lineage: Bacteria
Description: bacterial SSU rRNA
Rfam family: Bacterial small subunit ribosomal RNA
Source: RNAcentral